UGGGGAAUAUUGGACAAUGGGCGGAAGCCUGAUCCAGCCAUGCCGCGUGUGUGAAGAAGGCCUUUUGGUUGUAAAGCACUUUAAGCGAGGAGGAGGCUACUUGGAUUAAUACUCUAGGAUAGUGGACGUUACUCGCAGAAUAAGCACCGGCUAACUCUGUGCCAGCAGCCGCGGUAAUACAGAGGGUGCGAGCGUUAAUCGGAUUUACUGGGCGUAAAGCGUGCGUAGGCGGCUUUUUAAGUCGGAUGUGAAAUCCCUGGGCUUAACUUAGGAAUUGCAUUCGAUACUGGGAAGCUAGAGUAUGGGAGAGGAUGGUAGAAUUCCAGGUGUAGCGGUGAAAUGCGUAGAGAUCUGGAGGAAUACCGAUGGCGAAGGCAGCCAUCUGGCCUAAUACUGACGCUGAGGUACGAAAGCAUGGGGAGCAAACAGG
This 430-nucleotide ribosomal RNA is filed under the name Bacillota bacterium. Its description in RNAcentral is "Firmicutes bacterium partial 16S ribosomal RNA". It matches the Rfam family "Bacterial small subunit ribosomal RNA", at positions 355 to 776 of the family's 1533-position model. The record is from RNAcentral. Lineage: Bacteria; Bacillati; Bacillota.